GAUGAACGCUGGCGGCGUGCCUAACACAUGCAAGUCGAGCGAUUCUCUUCGGAGAAGAGCGGCGGACGGGUGAGUAACGCGUGGGUAACCUGCCCUGUACACACGGAUAACAUACCGAAAGGUAUGCUAAUACGAGAUAAUAUGCUUUUGUCGCAUGGUAGAAGUAUCAAAGCUUUUGCGGUACAGGAUGGACCCGCGUCUGAUUAGCUAGUUGGUAAGGUAACGGCUUACCAAGGCGACGAUCAGUAGCCGACCUGAGAGGGUGAUCGGCCACAUUGGAACUGAGACACGGUCCAAACUCCUACGGGAGGCAGUAGUGGGGAAUAUUGCACAAUGGGCGAAAGCCUGAUGCAGCAACGCCGCGUGAGCGAUGAAGGCCUUCGGGUCGUAAAGCUCUGUCCUCAAGGAAGAUAAUGACGGUACUUGAGGAGGAAGCCCCGGCUAACUACGUGCCAGCCGCCGCCGUAA
Molecule: ribosomal RNA, 468 nt
Filed under: uncultured bacterium
Lineage: Bacteria
Description: partial 16S ribosomal RNA
Rfam family: Bacterial small subunit ribosomal RNA
Source: RNAcentral